GACGAACGCUGGCGGCGUGCUUAACACAUGCCAGUCGAACGGAAAGGCCCUGCUUUUGUGGGGUGCUCGAGUGGCGAACGGGUGAGUAACACGUGAGUAACCUGCCCUUGACUUUGGGAUAACUUCAGGAAACUGGGGCUAAUACCGGAUAGGAGCUCCUGCUGCAUGGUGGGGGUUGGAAAGUUUCGGCGGUUGGGGAUGGACUCGCGGCUUAUCAGCUUGUUGGUGGGGUAGUGGCUUACCAAGGCUUUGACGGGUAGCCGGGCUGAGAGGGUGACCGGCCACAUUGGGACUGAGAUACGGCCCAGACUCCUACGGGAGGCAGCAGUGGGGAAUAUUGCACAAUGGGCGGAAGCCUGAUGCAGCAACGCCGCGUGCGGGAUGACGGCCUUCGGGUUGUAAACCGCUUUCGCCUGUGACGAAGCGUGAGUGACGGUAAUGGGUAAAGAAGCACCGGCUAACUACGUG
This 468-nucleotide ribosomal RNA is filed under the name uncultured bacterium. Its description in RNAcentral is "partial 16S ribosomal RNA". It matches the Rfam family "Bacterial small subunit ribosomal RNA", at positions 28 to 507 of the family's 1533-position model. The record is from RNAcentral.